Molecule: ribosomal RNA, 115 nt
Filed under: Alphaproteobacteria bacterium
Lineage: Bacteria; Pseudomonadati; Pseudomonadota; Alphaproteobacteria
Source: RNAcentral
CCUGGUGGUUAUUGCGAAAAGCACCCACCCGAUCCCAUCCCGAACUCGGUCGUGAAACUUUUCAGCGCCAAUGGUACUGCGUCUUAAGGCGUGGGAGAGUAGGACGCUGCCAGGC